AAUGGCUCAUUACAACAGUUAUAGUUUCUUUGGUAUUCGUUUUCCAUGGAUAACCGUGCUAAUUGUAGGGCUAAUACAAGUUCGAGGCCUUUUGGCGGCGUUUAUUAGUUCUAAAACCAUCCCUUUU
This 127-nucleotide ribosomal RNA is filed under the name Babesia divergens. RNAcentral's name for it is "partial 18S ribosomal RNA". It matches the Rfam family "Eukaryotic small subunit ribosomal RNA", at positions 92 to 232 of the family's 1831-position model. Lineage: Eukaryota; Apicomplexa; Aconoidasida; Piroplasmida; Babesiidae. The record is from RNAcentral.